GAAGUCCUCGUGUUGCAU
This 18-nucleotide non-coding RNA is filed under the name Arabidopsis thaliana (thale cress). Lineage: Eukaryota; Viridiplantae; Streptophyta; Magnoliopsida; Brassicales; Brassicaceae. The record is from RNAcentral.